Molecule: long non-coding RNA, 723 nt
Organism: Lolium perenne
Lineage: Eukaryota; Viridiplantae; Streptophyta; Magnoliopsida; Poales; Poaceae
Source: RefSeq, a predicted model, not a curated record
UCUCCCUCUAUAAAGCUCACUUGGCCGGCCACUCCACCUCCCUUUGCUCUCAUUUUUCACUCCCCACUCCUUCCUCCACUCACUCCCAUCCCUCUCCUACCUCUUCUCCACGAGCUGCUGCUCCCCCUUGCUCACAUGGCCGGCCAUGGCCAUGAAGAUCCACCAAGAUGAAGCUCCCCUCCUCCCUCAAGCUUCCCCUCACCAUGAGAGCAUCCCUCUCCUUCUUCUCCCCAACCCUAGAUGGAUUUCUCUCCUCUUCUUCUUCCUCCAUUGCUAAGAUUGGAUCUUGAUGCAGGUGCAUGUUGGUCCAAGCAUGGAGAAGCUUGAGCUAUCCUCAGAUCUGAAGUUCUUGAGCAAAAUCCAAAUCGAGUGAUUCAAAGUUCCGCAGAUAGAUACGGAAAAGAUCUACAACUUGGCAUUGGUCUCAUCCUCAAAUUCGUUACGGAUUGUCCGUGGUGAAAGCCCUCUUCAAUACCUUCAUUUUGGCGGUAGUUUCACUUCGAUUGACCUCCUGAAACUGAAAUGGUUCACAGAUCAAGAUCUGGUCAGAUCUGACUUUGUCGAAUUAAACCAGGAGCUUGGGAACGAAUCUUUGAGUGAAACAAAUUGGGUAAGAACCACCUAUUCAAUACCUUUCAGAUGCAGCUGACCUCAUAUUUUUGUGAUUGAUGUACGAUUUGUGGUGAAUUAAACUUGUUCUGUGUGUUCUGCAGACAUGGCUGU